CCGCAGCGCCGCGCCCGCGCCGGGCUAAAUCGACGUGGUCCGCGGCCCGCGGCUCCCCGCUGGCGCACGCGGCCGGGGUCUGCAGCGCCGCGCGGAGGAGGAGCUCCAGCGACCACGGAGCACCUAGAUGCCUUUUGCUCGAGUCCAUCGCUGCUUCCUCCCAUCACUGCCUCGCACUAUGGGGCACUCACGUCGUGUCCCUCGACUGCCGGGCAGGGGCCAGGUCUAUUCGUCCUGUCAUGCGGCACGGGGAGUGGGGACAGGAAGUGUGGACCCUCAGCGAUCCGGUGUGGAACCGGGCACCCGCUUUCUGCCGGUGAAGAAAAUGAGGCGUAGAGAGCAGGCAGUAGACUUAGGAGUUGGAGUGUGAUAGGGCCAGGACUGAGUCUUGCUGAUCAAGACUUGGGUACCAUCCAACCCCGUCCAGCGUGUGUGUGUGUGUGUGUGUGUGUGUGUGUGUGUGUGUGUUGCUACCGGGUGUUGAACCCAGGGGCGCUUUAACUAUUGAGCCACGCCUCCAGUUCUUUUUAAAUUAUUUUUUUUGAGACAGGGUCUCGCUAAAUUGCUGGCUUUUGAACUUCUGAUUCUCCUGCCUCAGCCUCCCUAGUCGGUGCAAUCACAGGCUUGUGCCACCCCAUCCCGUUUUACAGAGGCCACAGGACCUAGGAAAUGGACCCGAUUAAAUGCAGAGGCAGAUACGGGAACGGCAAACCUUAAGCCAAAACAUUAAAGACAUUUGGAAAAUGUCAACAGUAUUGAUCUUAGUGAAUUUCUUGUUUUAAAGAAAUUGGUUUUCUUCUGUGUGUGUGUGUGUGUGUGUGUGUAUUUAACUUAGGGCUGCUUUAUCACCGAGCUACACCCUAGCCCCUUUUAUUUUUGAAACAAGUUCUUACUAAAUUGCCCAGGCUGGCCUCCAACUCCCCAUCCGCCUGCCUUAGCCUCCAGAGUUGCUGGGAUGAUAGGUGAGCAUCACCAUGAUCAGUGCCAGGAAACUGUUUUUCAAAAGUUUCUGAGUUUCAGUUUUAAAAACCGUAUAUUCUGAUAUAACUUACUAAACAAAAACUCUUUGGGUCUUCAAUAAGUUUUAAGAGUGUGAAGUGGUACUAAGACCAAGAAGUUUGAGAACCACUGUCUAGCUCAACUUAUAUCUGAGAGAUGACUCGCUGAGUCCCAGGGUGACAGAGCUACUGGAGAACAGCCUCUUGGAGACAGCUUGCUCUCCCAGGUUCCCUUCAUUCACAUCUGGGAUUCAGACACAGAUGCAUGUGGUAGGGCAGUAAGUUAUCACAGAUGUCAGAUCAGAUGCUGGACUUUAGUUCUUGGAGACUGCCUGAUUAAG
RNAcentral lists this long non-coding RNA (1339 nucleotides) under Marmota monax (woodchuck). Lineage: Eukaryota; Metazoa; Chordata; Mammalia; Rodentia; Sciuridae. The record is from RNAcentral.